GAUGAACGCUAGCGGCAGGCCUAAUACAUGCAAGCCGAACGGUAAGAUUGGUAGCAAUACUGAUCUGAGAGUGGCGUACGGGUGCGUAACACGUAUGCAACCUACCCAGAACUGGAGGAUAGCUCAGGGAAACUUGGAUUAACCCUCCAUAAGAUCGUGUCCAGGCAUCUGGGUGCGAUAAAAACCUUCGGGUGGUUCUGGAUGGGCAUGCGCAUGAUUAGUUAGUUGGUAGUGUAACGGACUACCAAGACGAUGAUCAUUAGGGGACCUGAGAGGGUGAUCCCCCACACUGGCACUGAGAUACGGGCCAGACUCCUACGGGAGGCAGCAGUAGGGAAUAUUGGUCAAUGGGUGCAAGCCUGAACCAGCCAUGCCGCGUGCAGGAAGACGGCCUUCUGGGUUGUAAACUGCUUUUACCAGGGGAUAAAAGGCCCAUGCGUGGGACAUUGAAGGUACCUGGUGAAUAAGCCACGGCUAACUAC
Molecule: ribosomal RNA, 482 nt
Filed under: uncultured bacterium
Lineage: Bacteria
Description: bacterial SSU rRNA
Rfam family: Bacterial small subunit ribosomal RNA
Source: RNAcentral